UGCGUCGUGACUGCGUGCCUUUUGAAGAAUGAGCCUGCGAGUUUGCGGUGUGUUGCGAGGUUAACCCGAGUGGGGAAGCCGUAGCGAAAGCGAGUCCGAAUAGGGCGAUUCAGUAGCGCGCUCAAGACCCGAAGCGGAGUGAUCUAGCCAUGGGCAGGUUGAAGCGGAGGUAAGACUUCGUGGAGGACCGAACCCACCAGGGUUGAAAACCUGGGGGAUGACCUGUGGUUAGGGGUGAAAGGCCAAUCAAACUCCGUGAUAGCUGGUUCUCCCCGAAAUGCAUUUAGGUGCAGCGUCGUGUGUUUCUUGCCGGAGGUAGAGCACUGGAUAGGCGAUGGGCCCUACCGGGUUACUGACCUUAGCCAAACUCCGAAUGCCGGUAAGUGAGAGCGCGGCAGUGAGACUGUGGGGGAUAAGCUCCAUGGUCGAGAGGGAAACAGCCCAGAGCAUCGACUAAGGCCCCUAAGCGUACGCUAAGUGGGAAAGGAUGUGGAGUCGCACAGACAACCAGGAGGUUGGCUUAGAAGCAGCCACCCUUGAAAGAGUGCGUAAUAGCUCACUGGUCUAGUGAUUCCGCGCCGACAAUGUAGCGGGGCUCAAGCGUACCGCCGAAGUCGUGUCAUU
RNAcentral lists this non-coding RNA (624 nucleotides) under Streptomyces sp. MMG1533. RNAcentral describes it as "Bacterial large subunit ribosomal RNA". It matches the Rfam family "Bacterial large subunit ribosomal RNA", at positions 587 to 1209 of the family's 2925-position model. Lineage: Bacteria; Bacillati; Actinomycetota; Actinomycetes; Kitasatosporales; Streptomycetaceae. The record is from Rfam by way of RNAcentral.